Molecule: transfer RNA, 71 nt
Filed under: Myxococcota bacterium
Lineage: Bacteria; Pseudomonadati; Myxococcota
Description: tRNA-Gln
Rfam family: tRNA
About the family: Transfer RNA (tRNA) molecules are approximately 80 nucleotides in length. Their secondary structure includes four short double-helical elements and three loops (D, anti-codon, and T loops).
Source: RNAcentral
UGGGCCGUCGACAAGCGGCAAGUCACGGGGCUUUGGUCCCCGCAUCGAAGGUUCGAAUCCUUCCGGCCCAG